UCCAGCCAUACGCGUGCAGGAUGAAGCAUACGGCUGUAUAUAGAUUUGCUCCGGGAUGAAAUCGUCUGUACUAAUACCCCGGGGGUGAUGACGGUACCUGUACGAAUAAGACUCCGGCUAACUACGUUCCAGCACCCGCCGGUAAUAUAUAGGGUGCGAGCGUUAUUCGGAAUUACUUGUGCGUAAAGUGUGCGCAGGCGGGUUGUGCAAGUCAGAUGUGAAAUCCCAGGGCUUAACCUGGGAAGUGCAUUGGAGACUGCACGGCUAGAGUGCGGCAGAGGGGAGUGGAAUUCCGCGUGUAGCGGUGAAAUGCGUAGAUAUGCGGAGGAACACCGAUGGCGAAGGCAGCUCCCUGGGCCUACACUGACGCUCAGGCACGAAAGCGUGGGGAGCAAACAGGAUUAGAUACCCUGGUAGUCCACGCCCUAAACGAUGUCAACUAGUUGUUGGUCGUUCAAUGGAUCAGUAACGUAGCUAACGCGUGAAGUUGACCCCCCCGGGGGUACGGCCCCAAGGUUGAAAAACAAAAAAAUAUACGGGGGGCCCCCCAACAGGUGGAUGAUGUGGUUUAAUUUUAUGCAACGAGAAAAACCUUACCUACCCUUGACAUGCCUGGAACCCUGCAGA
Molecule: ribosomal RNA, 627 nt
Filed under: uncultured bacterium
Lineage: Bacteria
Description: partial 16S rRNA
Rfam family: Bacterial small subunit ribosomal RNA
Source: RNAcentral